This is an RNA transcript of Piliocolobus tephrosceles (Ugandan red Colobus), 1807 nucleotides long. It is a transcript of the gene named IDNK gluconokinase, with no coding region annotated. The record is from RefSeq and is a predicted model, not a curated record. The transcript has 3 exons. Lineage: Eukaryota; Metazoa; Chordata; Mammalia; Primates; Cercopithecidae.
UCCCAAACUCCUGGCCUCAAGUGAUCCGCCUACCUCAGCCUCCCAAAGUCUGCCUGCCUCAGCCUCCCAAAGUGCUGGGAUUAUAGGCGUUAGCCACCGCGCCCAACCUAACUUGGUCUUAAGUGUGAUUUUCUGCUAUGCAUACUUCUGGCUUCACCAGCUGUGGAGAUUGGCUGAGAUGGUCUGUUCAUCCAUAGGCCGCAUGUCUCGCUGAGCAGCCUUCAAUAGAAUGAACAUAGCGGGAAAGGUUUCAUUGCUCUCGCAAUCCUUUGGUUACAUCAAGGAGCAGAUCUCAGUUUGGUACAAGUGUGUCUAACACCUCUCUGAUGGCUUUUUGGUGAAAGAAAGAGGACCUUUGUUAGGCAACAGUGUCCAGCUAGAAUUUAAUCACAUUGUUCUGUUUUCAUUACAUACAGCUUUUCAGGUGCCUUCUGUUCAAGGCAAGUGAUGAUAGCUUCUUGUGUAAGGGAAUGAAAGAAAGUUUCCUUCUUUAACACACUUACUUAAUUUUUAAAAGUGAAGCAAUUAAAUAAAAACAUCAAAAUGUGAUAUGCAAAAUUUAAGAGGGCAUGAUAAAACAGUAUAGGGAUAAGUAAAAAAUUGUGAAGAUGGUGCUUAAAUAACACUUUAAACACUGAAAGCAAGAAAGCAUUUUAUGGGUCAUUGUCCGCUGGCCUCCACCCCUACCCUGUGGUACUAGACUGUUUAGGAUGGCUAAGGCCAUGUCUCAGUGAGCUUACCAUUACAUCCUGGGUAGGUGUAUUACAAAUUUCAUUUGUAAUAAACAAAUGAAAUGUGGGUGGAUGGAUACAUUGUGUGGCUCAGAUCCCUUGUUUUACAGGUGAGAAAAGUCAGGUUUAAAGGAACAGGUGACUUGGCUGGGAGCACUCAGUCAUUUAGUGGCAGAAGGCAACUGUGGCCCCAUCUCCAGUCCCGAGUCCCGAGCCCAUUUCACUAGCACAUGCCACCUGGUAGAGUAUGAACAGAUAGUUACCAAAUGCUCUGCACAGAGAACGUUUAACUCCCAGUCUUAACAAGUGCCAGUGAUCCGUGAGAUACUGACCCAUGUCCUUUAUUUUAGGAGUGUGUCUCUUUUAAACUCCAGAAAUGUUUUUAUGCUUUUAUGAGUGCCCUGAACUUUACAUGGGUGCUGCUAGAGAUUAAAUCCUCCAUCAGACCCCUCCACUCAAUAUUCUCAACAGAAUUUUAUUACUUUAUGAAUUCAACAUCCCCACACACACACACACACAAAAUUAUACAACAGGGACCAAAAACUGAUUAUUGAAGAAAAAUCUUGGGUUUAAUGAGAUCUUAUAUAUUGCCUUUUGAGAAAAAAAUAGUGUUAACUAAUUAUUUCUUGAUUGACAUUCGCGGGGAUCAGCUAAGGCCAAUCUCCAGACUCCAGGGUCACGGGCAUCACUGCUUUAGGAUUAUACCGUGAUUGGUGUUUAAAUUCCUGCUAGGGCAGCCAUCCCUUUCCCAGACAUCCUUGCACAGAAGGAAGCUCCACACAUUGGGCAGGGCAGUAAUGGGAACAUCUGUGUCCUCUCCACAGAUCCACCGUGGGCGCCCUGCUGGCAUCUGAGCUGGGAUGGAAAUUCUAUGAUGCUGAUGACUAUCACCCAGAGGAAAAUCGAACGAAGAUGGGAAAAGGGAUACCGCUCAAUGACCAGAGAUGUAGCCUCGGGACAGCAUGUGGUUCUAGCCUGUUCAGCCCUGAAGAAAAUGUACAGAGACAUAUUAACACAAGGAAAAGAUGGUGCAGCUCUGAAGUGCGAGGAGUCAGGAAAGGAAGCAAAGCGGGCUG